CAGUCGACGAAGCACCUUGGACAGAAUCCUUCGGGAGGAAGACCAUUGUGACUGAGUGGCGGACGGGUGAGUAACGCGUGGGUAACCUGCCUUGUACAGGGGGAUAACAGUUGGAAACGACUGCUAAUACCGCAUAAGCGCACAGUACCGCAUGGUACGGUGUGAAAAACUCCGGUGGUACAAGGUGGACCCGCGUCUGAUUAGCUGGUUGGUGAGGUAACGGCCCACCAAGGCGACGAUCAGUAGCCGACUUGAGAGAGUGAUCGGCCACAUUGGGACUGAGACACGGCCCAAACUCCUACGGGAGGCAGCAGUAGGGAAUAUUGCACAAUGGGGGAAACCCUGAUGCAGCGACGCCGCGUGAAGGAAGAAGUAUUUCGGUAUGUAAACUUCUAUCAGCAAGGAAGAAAAUGACGGUACUUGACUAAGAAGCCCCGGCUAAAUACGUGCCAGCAGCCGCGGUAAUACGUAUGGGGCAAGCGUUAUCCGGAUUUACUGGGUGUAAAGGGAGCGUAGGCGGCAUGGCAAGUCAGAAGUGAAAGCCUGGGGCUCAACCC
RNAcentral lists this ribosomal RNA (557 nucleotides) under uncultured bacterium. Its description in RNAcentral is "bacterial SSU rRNA". It matches the Rfam family "Bacterial small subunit ribosomal RNA", at positions 59 to 615 of the family's 1533-position model. The record is from RNAcentral.